UGGUGGUUUAAUUAAGGAGUCCAUCGGGUUUUUAUAGAACUUGGAGAGCACUGACUCGUUAUCCUUCCACUGCACAGAGCGAGAGCUAUUCGUUGCUCUAUGAAACCAGCCUUACGCAGCCCACCCCACUCUAAGAGCCAAGCAGUCCAUACUUUCAUUUGAACCACGUGACUCAACUCCGUGCUUGGACAGGGCAAGCCAUACUAAUGGCAACCAAAGUCCAGCCAUCUGGAAUAGCCUAACAUCCCACCACAUUGUUGCUCCCACUUAGGUUACAAGCCCACGUUACAAGGCUCGGCGCUUAGAUGGUUAUGUCAUCAUUAUAUGUACUAACAAAAGUCAUUGUUCACUACCAAUGUGGGAACAAAAUAUGUAAUAACCAACUCUACCUUUAUUUAUUUAUGUAAGUACCUUUGAAAGUUAAUUAAAAUUGAAUCUAGUCAGAUUUUAUGAUAUAUUUUAUUGAACAUUUAGAUAUAUUUACUUGUAGAAAGUGCUGUAAAAAUUUCAAUUGAAUUUGUCAUAAGUUUGCUACAUAAUCCAAGCUCUAUAUAGACCUUUCUUUAUUUACUAAUAAUUGGACAAAAGUACUCCAAAUUAAAAUACGAAACAAUAUUAAAUUUGAAGGAUUAACAAGUGAAACUCAACAAUUAUCCACGUGAAUGGGGAAUGACUAUAUUAUGAAUGUAUACAUGAAAAAUAUGUGUGAUAAUAAGGAUUAAUCGUAUUUGAUAAAACUAUAUUUUUCCUUUAAAUUUCUUCGUAGUGAACAUGCAUCAGGUACACUUGGUUAGUCAGUAGCUUUGACAUUCUUCAACCGUCAAACUUUGAUGUAUACCUAGAUAACAUAUGCCACACAAUUAACAUUUAACUGUUCUUGAUUCUCAUAUUUUUGUGUUCGUUUCAGUCAUGAACAACACAUGAUUUCAUGCGUGUGUAGAAUUGGCCUUCACUUAUUCUCCUUUAAGUGGCUUACACUUCACACUCACAUAAUUAAUUUUAAAAUGUGUGAGCCGUAGAUACAUUGUUUGAUCAUGUCAUGUCAAAUAUAUAAAUCAUUAAAAAAAAUGUUUCCUCGUUUCCUAAACAUUGUCGUAUAUUGUGAAUGGAUUAAAUUUAAUAACAACGUUGAAUUGACAUUCAUAACGUUGUUAGAUAUCUUUGAAGCUAAAUUUUGGAAUCUCCAUGUAGGUAAAGUUAUCAUUAUGAUGACUUAUUCUUGGACAUAACCCCUUCUAUAAUUAGGUCUUUGGUAAGUGAUACUUACACAUUAUUCUGACUUUACGUAGUUCAUUAAUGUGAUAAUUUCACUAGAGUAAUUGUCUAACAAUACUAUAUCUUCAACUCUUCAUCAUAUGUGACGAGAUUCUACUCUAUGCAUAAUAUUUUCAGCCCUUCUUAUUUCAUCUUGACUAUCAUAAUUAUAUAUAUAUUAGCCAAAAUAAAGGUGCAAACAUGCGUGUUCACAAAAGAAAAUACAUUUUAUUUUUAAAAAUUCUGCAAAUUUUAAAUAAAUCACGUGAACGGGUGGAAAGAAAUAUUUGUGAAUUUUUUAUUAAAUUCCACGUAAAUUAAUAUCAGAAAAAAUAUAUCAAUAAAUCAGAAGUACUUCUAUAUGUAUAUAAGCAUGAAAAUUUUCAAUCCGCCUCCUCUCCAUUUCUCCUCUUUUCAUUUUCUUCAAGUUCUAGCUUGGAUUGGAGAUACAUGUCAUAGUUUAGAAUUAACGGUUGAGAUGUAAUUGAUUAAAUCAAAGUCCUAACUAUAGUUAUUUACUUCCAUAUGUUUAUUUCUUAAAUAUUUUUGCAAUCCAUUAUAUUUUGUCUAGAUAUAUUAAAAGUUCGAUCUGCGUACAUUGGAACACACCGUAACUAGAAAAAAGUUAAAAAUUAGAAAUAGUCAUUUUUUGAAGGAAUAUAAAAAUCUGGAAAUUUGUUAAGUGUGUUAAAGUUGAGUUAUUUGGUCAACUUCAAACGACCAUAACUCCUAGACCGGGAUGAGUUAGGUGUGUUUCCAGAUACCGUAGGAAAGAUCUUGGAAAAAUCCUUCCAACGCCGCCGAGUUUGCGCGAUUCCAAGUUCAUUGAGUGAGAUAUGCCAAUUGGAAGUUGGGUUGUUCAAAUAAGGAAAUAUUCAAUCCGGAUUUUAAAGGGUGUUUUGGCCUUUUCCUUACCUAAUUAUUUUAUUUAGUUUUUGUUUAAUUAAUUGGGGUCAAAUCAUAUUAUUCAGUUUUAGAAAAGUUGAAGUUUCACGCUAGGGCUUGGAGAAAAGAGAAAAGAGGAGAAAGGAAAAGAAAGUUCAAGAUUAGACGUCUUCGUAAGGAAUCGCUUGUGAAUUUCGUCAAGGGUGAUCCCUAUGAGGUAAAUGAGAUCACACAGCGUUGGAUCCAUUCGCCCACGCGCCAAACUUGUUAUAGUUCAGUGAUAGUACUCGUCCUAAAAGAGUUAGAAUUUAAUGUUCUUGAGUUCUGUUCUUAAGUUAUUUUCAUUCUUGAAUUCACAUGUGAUUGAUGGGUUUGAUUGAGACAUUUAAGCAAUGUUAAGAAUUGUUUUUAGUUAGAUUUUAGUGUACAUGCUUUGGGUAUCUGAAUCUAAGAAAGUAUUAAGAAAAGGAAUCGAUUUAAUGCAAUUUAGGAUCAUAAAACAAGUUGAAAAUUCGUUAGACGCACCUGGAGAGGGCCAGGCGCCUCGCGCCCCCAUAGCGCCAGGGAGGCUUGGGGCGGCACGCUUGCAAUGCACCCAAAAUGAACCCCAGAAAGUUGGGGCGCCAAUCACACGUCGGGAUCGUCAUUUUUCGCCAUUUUUUUUGUCGUAUAGCCUAUUUAAGUCCUUCUAAAGUGUACUAAUACUUUCCAUUGAUUCUAAUACUCUAAGUGACUUCUAGAAAUCAUCCAAAAACAUGAAUCAUAACCUUGAAUUCAUAAAUUCAAAUUCAAGGAAAGUUAAGAGUCAAGUCUAAGAAGUUCUUAGUGUCUUUUAAGAAGUCUUUUGCAAAUGCUUUGAACUUUAUUUUAGGACUUAAAGUUCAAGUUGGGUAAAGAUACUUAAAGUUCAAGUUGGGUAAAGAAUAAAUAGUGAAGUUUGAAGUUCAUUUCUUCAAAGAAGUAUAUGAGGAUUAUAUACUCCCAAAGAGUUUAAAAUGUUUUCACAUUUUAAAUAAGAAUGAAAACUGAGAUUUCCAAAUAGUCUUUGAGCUAGUAUUCAGAAAAGAGUAAAAGCUUUCCCUAUUAAGCAAGAGAGGAAAUAUUGAUUUCCAAUAUAGUCAUUCAACUAAGUUUUUGAGUAAUUAUCUCAAAUCAAAGAAAGAACUAUGUUUUUAAAACGUAAGAGUUAGUCAUAUUUUGAAAAUAGUAUUGAGCAGUGAUAUGAGAGAGAGUUCAGACAAUUCACAAUUUCCAUAAACCAUUUAGCUGUCAUGGAUAGAAAAGGGUCAAUGACCAAUCAAGUAGAAAGUCUUUAGGUGAUUACAUUUGGUUGCAAGAAAAAUGUUUUGAGCAAAAAAUAUAUUUGGGAAAAAAGUUUUAAAAAAUAAUUAGUUUUUAUGCUAUUUUGUUAUGUUUGAUAAGCAGAAAUAUUGUUCUAGAAAAGUUCGGGUAUAAUCUAAGAUAAAUAUUAUUAGACUUGAAGGUGAGGGUAGGAUUUGGGGUUCGUGGGAAUGGACGCUAUGGGGUGGAGUAUGUGUUCAAGGGUCGGGAGGAGACAAAUGGCGUAGGAUGUCCUUUAUGAAAUUUGUUUUUUCUACUUUUUACUUGAAAAGUCAUUUUCUUUUUUAAUUUUUAUGAAAACUUAUUUUCCAAAAGAAAAUAUUUUCCCAAAUUUUAACCAACCAAAUAUUGAAAAAUUGAACAACAUUUGCCGGAGAUUAUUUUCCUCCAUACCAAAUACAUCCUUAUGGAGUGAUCAAACGACCCUUAUUUAGCCAAUACAUUCAGUGACACAUAGUGUGAUAUACGUUAGUGUGAAUAUGUAACUCCUUAUUAUUUCCUUCGGAAUCGAAGGAUUGGGACUAACAACUAACACCAAAACACUCAUCCACAUGCUUAAGGGCUAAAUUAAAUCUUAUUCCUUUUAUGAUUUUAUAUGGUUACAAUCUCAACCAACGUAGAGUAUAGUAAAAAUGUAUUUUUUUUUAAUUAAAUUGCUUGAAAAGCAAUCGAUGCAACUCUCCUGUUGAAGUUCUUUGAAUAUGAGAGGCUUCUCUCAGUAUGGAUUCAUGUUAAAACUUGUGUUAGUAGUAGUAAAACCAUGUUUAUUUGCUAAUAUUUAAUGUUAUGAGUUGCAUCGAUUGCUUUUCAAGCAAUUUAAUUAAAAAAAAAUACAUUUUUACUAUACUCUACGUUGGUUGAGAUUGUAACCAUAUAAAAUCAUAAAAGGAAUAACAUUAAAUAUUAGCAAAUAAACAUGGUUUUACUACUACUAACACAAGUUUUAACAUGAAUCCAUAGUGAGAGAAGCCUCUCAUAUUCAAAGAACUUCAACAGGAGACUAUUUCAUACACUUUUAUCUCACAUUUAGGUAAACUUGGACCAAGCACCAAUUAUAGAAAAGAAAAAAGUGGUGGUUUAAUUAGGUAGUCCAUCAGGUUUUUGUUGAACUUGGAAAGCACUGACUCGUUAUCCUUCCACUGCACAGACUGGGAGUUAUUCGUUGCUCUGUGAAACCAGCCUCACGCAGUCCACCCCACUCUAAGAGCCAAGCAGCCCAUACUUUCGUUUGGACCACGUGACUCAACUCCGUGCUUGGAUAGGGCAAGCCAGACUAAUGCCAACCAAAGUCCAGCCAUCUGGAACAGCCUAACAUCCCACUACAUUGUUGCCCCAACUUAGGUUACAAGCCCACGUUACAAGGCUCGGCAUUUA
Molecule: long non-coding RNA, 4854 nt
Filed under: Solanum lycopersicum (tomato)
Lineage: Eukaryota; Viridiplantae; Streptophyta; Magnoliopsida; Solanales; Solanaceae
Description: long non-coding RNA (SLYC_LNC000262)
Source: RNAcentral